Paramormyrops kingsleyae is the source of this 545-nucleotide long non-coding RNA. RefSeq lists it as uncharacterized. Lineage: Eukaryota; Metazoa; Chordata; Actinopteri; Osteoglossiformes; Mormyridae. The record is from RefSeq and is a predicted model, not a curated record.
UAAUGCGUACGGAACGUGGCAUUUGAACAUAGAAAUCGUACGCGAAAUAGAACAGUGGCUCAUAGUGCAGCCCUGUUUUCUUUCUUCUCUUAAAUGGGCAUUAUUGUAGUGUACAAGUGUUCCACUUAACUGCCGAAAUAAUGAGGAAUUGCCGGAUAUGGAAGUGGUAGUGGAAUCGCGUGAGCCACCAUCGUUGCUGACUCGCUAAAGGAGGGUAUAAUCGACCACUCCCCCUUAGCCCUUGCUGCUGCUUUGAGACACACUUCAACAUGGCGAUGGGUCUCGGGAACGCGCAAACGAAGGCGGAAUGGUCUUUUCCUGCAACUCUUACCUUCUGCUGUGCUGAAGACCAGCAAGGAACAGAGAGACCAGUUUUCUGCUUCCUGUGUGGACACACCAGUCAGCUGAGCUAGAGCACAGAUGAUGGGCUACACAAAACAAACGAAAAUACAUUAUGAAACACUGUUGUACUAAAAUCAUGUAAGGUUGUCAUUGUAUUUCAAUAAAAGAACUAAUAGGCCAUUAAAAGCAAAUAUAGUACAAGA